GGGGGCGACCUGGUUUCGACGUGGGUUACAAAGCCAAAGGCGCAUGUCGAGAACGCAAUUUCACUCGUAAAAAUGAGUUGCAAAACUAUAGUUGCCAAUAACGACAACUUCAAAGUAGCCGUCGCCGCUUAAUAGCGGUGAUCUACCCAUUGCCAGAGCUUGCUAGUGGGCGCUGUCACAAUGGUCAUAGCACACCAGCUCGUAGCCUAACUUGCUCAGCGUUAGCUACUAAAACUAAUGAGCUCGCUGCUUAGAUAUCCUGCUAACCGGAGCUUUAAGCGGCUAAAAUAGAUGAUUAGCUAAACAUGUAGUGCUAAUGGUAGAGGGCUUGCGGACGCGGGUUCGAUUCCCGCCGCCUCCACCA
RNAcentral lists this transfer-messenger RNA (364 nucleotides) under Gammaproteobacteria (g-proteobacteria). RNAcentral describes it as "CCA-013414725 sp013414725 Standard tmRNA". It matches the Rfam family "transfer-messenger RNA". Rfam says of the family: Bacterial tmRNA, also known as 10Sa RNA or SsrA, is named for its dual tRNA and mRNA-like properties. Its role is to liberate the mRNA from a stalled ribosome. The record is from RNAcentral. Lineage: Bacteria; Pseudomonadati; Pseudomonadota. RNAcentral also lists the same sequence under 1 other name.